This 429-nucleotide ribosomal RNA is filed under the name Triticum aestivum (bread wheat). Its description in RNAcentral is "partial small subunit ribosomal RNA". The record is from RNAcentral. Lineage: Eukaryota; Viridiplantae; Streptophyta; Magnoliopsida; Poales; Poaceae.
ACACUUGAUGAGUCCCUUACUGAAUCUACGUUAUACGAGAUGGCAUCAUCUCUACAAAGGCUCUUUGCAACAAUAUUGGUAUUCUGUGAGCCAAGUAAUGUGCGUGGACUCUGGGAGAAGCACCUGGAGGCAAUGUCAGAAGACUAUCGCCGCAACAAUCCAUCCAAAGUUGUGGUUGAGCAAAUGGUUCUGAUAGAUAUCAGGAAUAUGCUACAAUCAAUGGGAAAGGACAUAGAGUCAUUCCCUCUUCCCGGUAUCAAUGAAGAAUAUGACACUGCUUCCGGCAUGCCAAGGGAGAUCUUCGAGGAAUCCACCAUUCAGCUCAAUGUUGAGGACACAAAUCUAUCAGACUCACUUAAUUCAGAUCAUAGGAAAGCCUACGAUGAAAUUAUGUAUGUUGUUGACAGUGAUGAGGGUGGCGUAUUCUUU